UGCUUGCACCUUUCAAGCGAGUGGCGAACGGGUGAGUAACACGUGGAUAACCUGCCUCAAGGCUGGGGAUAACAUUUGGAAACAGAUGCUAAUACCGAAUAAAACUUAGUAUCGCAUGAUACAAAGUUGAAAGGCGCUACGGCGUCACCUAGAGAUGGGUCCGCGGUGCAUUAGUUAGUUGGUGGGGUAAAGGCCUACCAAGACAAUGAUGCAUAGCCGAGUUGAGAGACUGAUCGGCCACAUUGGGACUGAGACACGGCCCAAACUCCUACGGGAGGCUGCAGUAGGGAAUCUUCCACAAUGGGCGAAAGCCUGAUGGAGCAACGCCGCGUGUGUGAUGAAGGCUUUAGGGUCGUAAAGCACUGUUGUAUGGGAAGAAAUGCUAGAAUAGGGAAUGAUUCUAGUUCGACGGUACCAUACCAGAAAGGGACGGCUAAAUACGUGCCAGCAGCCGCGGUAAUACGUAUGUCCCGAGCGUUAUCCGGAUUUAUUGGGCGUAAAGCGAGCGCAGACGGUUGAUUAAGUCUGAUGUGAAAGCCCGGAGCUCAACUCCGGAAUGGCAUUGGAAACUGGUUAACUUGAGUGUUGUAGAGGUAAGUGGAACUCCUUGGGUAAACGG
RNAcentral lists this ribosomal RNA (619 nucleotides) under Leuconostoc lactis. RNAcentral describes it as "bacterial SSU rRNA". It matches the Rfam family "Bacterial small subunit ribosomal RNA", at positions 77 to 682 of the family's 1533-position model. Lineage: Bacteria; Bacillati; Bacillota; Bacilli; Lactobacillales; Lactobacillaceae. The record is from RNAcentral.